Long non-coding RNA from Notothenia coriiceps (black rockcod), 333 nucleotides. RefSeq lists it as uncharacterized. The transcript has 3 exons. Lineage: Eukaryota; Metazoa; Chordata; Actinopteri; Perciformes; Nototheniidae. The record is from RefSeq and is a predicted model, not a curated record.
UGGUUAUGAAACAAGAGGAGGAGCUUCAGACAGGUGAGGGCGUUAAAGUGAACGUAUGAAGUCAGACUGCCAGACGCCAUCUUACACCUGGGCAGAGAGGAGGAGGACAACGGUGUUACUGGUUUAUCUCUCAGAUGGAGAAGAUGAGUGGUUUAAAAGAUGAGGAAGAGGACAGAUGUCUGUCUCUGAAGAGUGAGCGGUCUAAAGAACACUUCCAGACUUCGUUAACGAUCCUGGACCCUCGGACACAGAACGGAGAGCAGAGUCUCCAUUCUCCAGCUGUCUGUCUCUGAAGAGUGACCAGUCUAAAGGCUCUCCUCUGUACUUCAGUGA